This 253-nucleotide ribosomal RNA is filed under the name uncultured bacterium. Its description in RNAcentral is "partial 16S ribosomal RNA". It matches the Rfam family "Bacterial small subunit ribosomal RNA", at positions 524 to 776 of the family's 1533-position model. The record is from RNAcentral.
UACGAAGGGUGCUAGCGUUGUUCGGAAUUACUGGGCGUAAAGCGCGCGUAGGCGGCUUUUCAAGUCAGGGGUGAAAUCCUGGGGCUUAACCCCAGAAUUGCCUUUGAAACUGUAAAGCUAGAGUGUCGGAGGGGAUAGCGGAAUUGCUAAUGUAGAGGUGAAAUUCGUAGAUAUUAGCAGGAACACCGGUGGCGAAGGCGGCUAUCUGGACGACAACUGACGCUGAGGCGCGAAAGCGCGGGGAUCAAACAGG